Long non-coding RNA from Tetranychus urticae (two-spotted spider mite), 1303 nucleotides. RefSeq lists it as uncharacterized. The record is from RefSeq and is a predicted model, not a curated record. NCBI's taxonomy places the organism in Eukaryota, Metazoa, Arthropoda, Arachnida, Trombidiformes, Tetranychidae.
GUUUUAUAAUCCUUUUGGUUUCUUAAAAGUUACAUUUACAACAGUUAAACUCUUAAUUAGUGUCUUUUCCAUUGCAGUUUUAAAUUAAUUAUCAUAUGAUCAUGGAAAGAAUUAAAGUUUAUUCUGUGAAACUAAAGUGAAUUCAAAUUGAAUUAAAAGUGAAUUCAGAUUUCCAUGGGAAUGAGAAAGAAGACGCUAAUGGAUAAAAUGAUAAAAGCUGUGUUUAAGGACUAGCUCAAGGACUGAAAAGCAAAAAGAAUGAAAUUGUUUCAUUACUUUGAAUCAUUAUAAAGAAUUCUAUUACCAGGACUACAUAGCACGCCUCUUUACAUAUGGUUUCACAUGCCCAAUAUGGACGACUGAUAUCUCGAAUCAACGGCAUCAUAGCUGCAACCAACCCUAAGCCUGCCAAGCUUAAUAUGGCCUCAUAGGGGGUGGGUAACCAAACCACUCAGCCCAGUCGGGUUAUGGCAGGAAUCUGCUAGAUGAUGCUGAUUUCGAUGAAAGUUGGAAGAGAUGAAGUGAGAAAAUUGUGAUUCUAAAGGCUUCUUGACAAACCAUUGAUUUCUUGGGUGACACCAUAAAUUUUCAGGACUCCUAAAAAUGAAACAAUGAAAAAUUUAAACAUCUUUUUUCAACGGAAAUCAUGGAGACUCGUCUAACAACUUUCAAUGGUUAUUUUAUUAUUUAUAAUUAUUAUCAUUAUUAUCCUUUGCGAUUCGCUUGACUAAUGGUUCUGGUCAUCUCCAUGGAAAUGUGAUUCAAAGAUGACAAAACAACACUAACAACAGUUAUCCAUUGAAUACGGCUGUCAACUUACAACUGUACAGUGAUAGUUUGAAUUGAACUUAAUUGCUGUUUACUCUAUCUCUUCAAUCAUUCAUUUAUGCUAAUUGAUUGUAACAUUUAUGAUUUAAAUAAUCAUAUCAAGUAGGAAACCGAAUUAUAUUGAAUCAAUUUUGAUACGAUUACUGAGUCAAACCAAUAUAACUGUAUUAAAUAGUGAGAUGAUCAUUUAAACUUUAAGAUUCAUUUCCAAAGGAGUGUUCAGUCUCAAUUACAGGUUUAUGAUUUUGAAUGUCCAUUCAUUCAAAUUUGUAAUUAUUAUUAACUAUCAAAAUUGAUUAUUUCUCAUCGUCUUAAUAUCAUUGCAUCAUUGAACCAAACCUUUAACUGUGAGACAAUUUAUACAACAAAUUAUUCAUUCGUUAACCAAACAUAAAGCCUGUUUACCUGUAAUGCAACCAAAUAAUCAAUUUGAUUGUUUCAAAAACAAUAAGAAAAUCGGACUUUAAGCAAAUAA